This 394-nucleotide unclassified non-coding RNA is filed under the name soil metagenome. Its description in RNAcentral is "partial contains 5.8S ribosomal RNA, internal transcribed spacer 2, and large subunit ribosomal RNA". The stretch from base 1 to 120 matches the Rfam family "5.8S ribosomal RNA", at positions 35 to 154 of the family's 154-position model. The record is from RNAcentral.
GAUGAAGAACGUAGCGAAAUGCGAUAAGUAAUGUUAAUUGCAGAAUUCAGUGAAUCAUCGAAUCUUUGAACGCACCUUGCGCCUUUUGGUAUUCCGAAAGGCACACCUGUUUGAGCGUCAUGAAUACCUCAAUCUCCAUCUUUUCUUCGGAUUGAUGGGUGACUUGGAUGUUGAGCCCUGCUGGUAUGCUAUAUCAGCUGGCUUUAAACUUAUUAGCCGGCUCUGUACUGGAUCGGUUUGACUCGACGUGAUAAUAUUAUCGUUGAGGAUGCAUGUCUCAUGCAGCCGGAAAGUAUCAAAGCAGCUUCUAGCUUGCCUUUAGUGCACUUUUACAUUUUAGACCUCAGAUCAGGUGGGACUACCCGCUGAACUUAAGCAUAUCAUAAGCGGAGGA